AUGCGGCUGCUCGGACACAACAAUAUUCAAAUCAAUUCCGGUGGCCCGGCAACUUCUCCCGUGUCAGUGUCAGGUUUAGUGCAGGAGGUUUUUGUACAGCUGUUGAUUGAGUUUGUAUCACUGUGGUGGACUUUCGGUGGAGGCACUCGACUCUCAGUUGGAACUGCGGCUCGUCCCGCUGUCACGGUGCUGCCUCCCUCCAGAGACGAGCUGCAGCAGGGUAAGGCUACAGUGCUGUGUGUGGCCAGUAAGGGAUUCCCCUCUGACUGGAAGCUGAGCUGGAAGGUGGACGACAGCAGCAGGAGCUCUGGUGUCAAUCUGAGUCCCGGUCAGCUGCAGAAGGAUGGACUGUACAGCUGGAGCAGCAGCCUGAGCCUCACUGAGAGUGAGUGGAGCAGAGCAACAACCGUCAGCUGUGACGCCACGCACCCGUCCCACAAUGCAGUGACCAAGAGCCUCGACACACAGCAGUGCAAUGACCAGUGAAACACACACACACACACACUGCUGUUAGUAUAUUGCUCAUAUAUUCUUAUCUGCAAUGAUAUGAAUGUUUUGUUGAUCAUUUUAUUCUUGCUACCAAAUAAAAGCAUUUUGUCUCAAAUAUGUUGUUGA
Molecule: non-coding RNA, 615 nt
Organism: Onychostoma macrolepis
Lineage: Eukaryota; Metazoa; Chordata; Actinopteri; Cypriniformes; Cyprinidae
Source: the annotation of a RefSeq genome assembly